This 275-nucleotide ribosomal RNA is filed under the name uncultured bacterium. RNAcentral's name for it is "partial 16S ribosomal RNA". It matches the Rfam family "Bacterial small subunit ribosomal RNA", at positions 399 to 691 of the family's 1533-position model. The record is from RNAcentral.
GCGUGAGUGAUGAAGGCCUUAGGGUUGUAAAGCUCUUUUACCAGGGAUGAUAAUGACAGUACCUGGAGAAUAAGCUCCGGCUAACUCCGUGCCAGCAGCCGCGGUAAUACGGAGGGAGCUAGCGUUGUUCGGAAUUACUGGGCGUAAAGCGCACGUAGGCGGCUAUUCAAGUCGGGGGUGAAAGCCCGGGGCUCAACCCCGGAACUGCCCUCGAAACUAGGUAGCUAGAAUCUUGGAGAGGCGAGUGGAAUUCCGAGUGUAGAGGUGAAAUUCGU